Passer domesticus (house sparrow) is the source of this 252-nucleotide long non-coding RNA. RefSeq lists it as uncharacterized. The record is from RefSeq and is a predicted model, not a curated record. Lineage: Eukaryota; Metazoa; Chordata; Aves; Passeriformes; Passeridae. The transcript is spliced from 3 exons.
CAGGAUCCAUGACCUAGUCCUUGAAUGUGCUGAUGUUUGGAGAAGAAAGUCUACUAGUCAGGCUUGUGUCUUAAGAGCAGAAUUCACGUUUCACAAGGCUUCAGUGAAGAAUUUAAUGCCACAAAGUCUGCUUGAAAACUGUUGAAAUCAGUGGCUUGUUCAAUACAGGAAGAUGUAUAGUCUAUUGUUUGUUUACAUUAUUUGAAGUAAGAAACAGUGCCAAUGUCUUAAAUGGGGAAAAAGCCCACAUAG